UACGUAGGGCGCAAGCGUUGUCCGGAAUUAUUGGGCGUAAAGAGCUCGUAGGUGGCUGGUCGCGUCUGCCGUGAAAGCCCGCAGCUUAACUGCGGGUCUGCGGUGGAUACGGGCCGGCUAGAGGUAGGUAGGGGCAAGUGGAAUUCCUGGUGUAGCGGUGAAAUGCGCAGAUAUCAGGAGGAACACCGGUGGCGAAGGCGGCUUGCUGGGCCUUACCUGACGCUGAGGAGCGAAAGCGUGGGGAGCGAACAGGAUUAGAUACCCUGGUAGUCCACGCUGUAAACGUUGGGCGCUAGGUGUGGGGGUCUUCCACGAUCUCCGUGCCGGAGCUAACGCAUUAAGCGCCCCGCCUGGGGAGUACGGCCGCAAGGCUAAA
RNAcentral lists this ribosomal RNA (376 nucleotides) under uncultured bacterium. RNAcentral's name for it is "bacterial SSU rRNA". It matches the Rfam family "Bacterial small subunit ribosomal RNA", at positions 524 to 898 of the family's 1533-position model. The record is from RNAcentral.